CAACAUUAAUUUUGCCUAAUUAUGGCAACCAGGAAAUUCUUUCUUUAAUAUUUUUCUGUCUAGGUGUUCAAUGUAAGGGUAUAUCCAUGUGAUUUAUGCAUUAUUCUCCGUUACUUUGGUAAGUAUAUUAUUGAUAGCUUUUCCAAUAUAUUCCUGCUCUUCUGUAUAUUUUAAUUAAAGUAGUGACUCCUUAAUUGAUUUAUUUACCUUAAUUAAUUGAAAACCAGCAAGCAUGCGUAUUUGUGGGCAUAUUUAGUUUCUCCUUAAUUUAAGAAAAAGAUAUUUUAAUUGAUCCUUAGUUAAUUCUCUUUCCUUUAUCAUGUACCCUCCUCUCUACUA
This 339-nucleotide long non-coding RNA is filed under the name Solanum tuberosum (potato). Its description in RNAcentral is "long non-coding RNA (STUB_LNC007994)". The record is from RNAcentral. Lineage: Eukaryota; Viridiplantae; Streptophyta; Magnoliopsida; Solanales; Solanaceae.